RNAcentral lists this ribosomal RNA (578 nucleotides) under uncultured Bilophila sp. RNAcentral describes it as "bacterial SSU rRNA". It matches the Rfam family "Bacterial small subunit ribosomal RNA", at positions 988 to 1533 of the family's 1533-position model. The record is from RNAcentral. Lineage: Bacteria; Pseudomonadati; Thermodesulfobacteriota; Desulfovibrionia; Desulfovibrionales; Desulfovibrionaceae.
CUAGGGAACCCUUNGGAAAUGAAGGGGUGCCNUUCGGGGAGCNNUANGACNGNUGNUGCAUGGCUGUNGUCAGCUCGUGNCGUGAGGUGUUGGGUUAAGUCCCGCAACGAGCGCAACCCCUAUCUUCAGUUGCCAGCAGGUAAGGCUGGGCACUCUGGAGAGACCGCCCCGGUCAACGGGGAGGAAGGUGGGGACGACGUCAAGUCAUCAUGGCCCUUACGCCUGGGGCUACACACGUACUACAAUGGCGCGCACAAAGGGUAGCGAGACCGCGAGGUGGAGCCAAUCCCAAAAAACGCGUCCCAGUCCGGAUUGGAGUCUGCAACUCGACUCCAUGAAGUCGGAAUCGCUAGUAAUUCGAGAUCAGCAUGCUCGGGUGAAUGCGUUCCCGGGCCUUGUACACACCGCCCGUCACACCACGAAAGUCGGUUUUACCCGAAGCCGGUGAGCUAACUCGCAAGAGGAGCAGCCGUCUACGGUAGGGCCGAUGAUUGGGGUGAAGUCGUAACAAGGUAGCAAUCACUAGUGAAUUCGCGGCCGCCUGCAGGUCGACCAUAUGGGAGAGCUCCCNACGCNUG